GACGAACGCUGGCGGCGUGCUUAACACAUGCAAGUCGAACGAAAAGGCGCUGCUUUUGUGGCGUGCUCGAUUGGCGAACGGGUGAGUAUAACGUGAGUAACCUGCCCUUGACUUUCGGAUAACUUCAGGAAACUGGGGCUAAUAUCGGAUAGGAACUCCUGCUGCAUGGUGGGGGUUGGAAAGAGUCGGCGGUAGGGGAUGGACUCGCGGCUUAUCCGCUUGUUGGUGGGGUAGUGGCUUACCAAGGCUUUGACGGGUAGCCCGCCUGAGAGGGUGAACGGCGACCAUGCGCCUGAGGGACGGACCAGAAGCCUACGGGACGCAGCAGGGGAGAGUAUUGCGCAGCGGGCGGGAGUCUGAUGCAGAGACGCUGCGUGCGGAAUAACGGGCUUCUGGGUGUAAACAGAUUUCGCCUUUAACAUAGCGUGCUUGACGGUAAUGGGUAAGGAAGCACCGGCUAACUACGUG
This 468-nucleotide ribosomal RNA is filed under the name uncultured bacterium. Its description in RNAcentral is "partial 16S ribosomal RNA". It matches the Rfam family "Bacterial small subunit ribosomal RNA", at positions 28 to 507 of the family's 1533-position model. The record is from RNAcentral.